UACGAAGGGGGCUAGCGUUGCUCGGAAUUACUGGGCGUAAAGGGUGCGUAGGCGGGCAGGUAAGUCAGUGGUGAAAUCUCCGGGCUUAACCCGGAAACUGCCGUUGAUACUAUCUGUCUUGAAUAUCGUGGAGGUAAGCGGAAUAUGUCAUGUAGCGGUGAAAUGCUUAGAUAUGACAUAGAACACCCAUUGCGAAGGCAGCUUACUACACGAUCAUUGACGCUGAGGCACGAAAGCGUGGGGAGCAAACAGG
Molecule: ribosomal RNA, 253 nt
Filed under: uncultured bacterium
Lineage: Bacteria
Description: partial 16S ribosomal RNA
Rfam family: Bacterial small subunit ribosomal RNA
Source: RNAcentral